RNAcentral lists this transfer RNA (60 nucleotides) under Thladiantha nudiflora. RNAcentral describes it as "tRNA-Val". The record is from RNAcentral. Lineage: Eukaryota; Viridiplantae; Streptophyta; Magnoliopsida; Cucurbitales; Cucurbitaceae. RNAcentral also lists the same sequence under 2 other names.
AGGGCUAUAGCUCAGUUGGUAGAGCACCUCGUUUACACAAUCAGUUUGAUCUGUUUUACC